UCGUCAUCUUCGGCCUGCAGGUUAGUGCUGACACGCUGUCCUUUGGCGACU
RNAcentral lists this non-coding RNA (51 nucleotides) under Microcebus murinus (gray mouse lemur). The record is from RNAcentral. Lineage: Eukaryota; Metazoa; Chordata; Mammalia; Primates; Cheirogaleidae.